RNAcentral lists this long non-coding RNA (1743 nucleotides) under Marmota monax (woodchuck). The record is from RNAcentral. Lineage: Eukaryota; Metazoa; Chordata; Mammalia; Rodentia; Sciuridae.
AAGACUUUCAGCAAAAGAGUCCCUAUAGAAGAGUUCAGUGUAGAUUAACUUCCUCUUUUCGUGUUGCCCUGUUCUACUUGGCCACUGGCUAAAAAAUCAGCACUCCUAAGCUAGACACCCCCUUACUAGUUUUUCACAAAAUAUGUGAACAAGGCCUCUGGCCUUGAGCUGGGGCUUCACAGAGAUGGCUACAUUUCUAAGAUAAAGAAGUUACCAACUGGGCUCCAUGGUAACAGCUGGCAGGGGGAGAAAAGAAAGGAAAAAAAAAAGCUCUCCCCCUCCCAGAUGUCCUUAAAAAGUUAACUUGUCCAGAACAGAGGAAAAAAACAAACAAAAACUGCUUUUUAUAAACUUCUGCAGACUGUGAACUUCUGAGCCCCUUCCCUUACAUGUUGGGUACAAAAUUCUGAAACUACCUAAACUUGGGGUUCAGGGGAUUAAUUGAUUACAACAGAAGCAAUGCCCUCUGAAUCCGAUUGCAACCAAAUAGGACCGUUUCCCUGUCUUCGGUGCUAUCUUAGGUACCUUGCCUUGUCCGUCCCUACAACAGUAUAAUUCUAUAUACUUAAACAUUGUUUAUGUUUUCAUAAAAUGGUCAACAGAUGUAAUUAAUUAUAUAAUGGUGCAGAUGUUUCCCAGAGUGCUCUAUCAUGACGCAGGUUCAUUUGAAGAUCAAAUAGGGGGGCAUACAACCCGGUUCCGCUGGGAACCUGUAUCCCUCACUUUAGCCAUCCUAUUAGGAAUAGGAGUUGCUGCAGGGGUGGGCACAGGAACCACUGCCCUGGUCCAUGGGAUACAACAAAUGACCCAAUUGAAAAACAGCAAUAGACCAAAACUUAAAGAUAUUAGAAACCUCCAUCACAGCUUUGCAGGAAUUUUAACCUCUCUCUCUGAAGUUGUUUUACAGAACAGGCGAAGGUUGGACCUCUUCUUCAUGAGAGAAGAGGGCCUUUGUGCUGCAUUGAGGAAAAAUGUUGUUUUUAUGCUGACCAUAUUGGAGUUGUAAAAAAAAAUCUAUGAGUAAAUUAAAAAGACGCCUUGAAGAGCGUCAAUGAGAGAGAGAAACCCAAAAAGGGUGGUUUGAGUCUUAGUUCACACAGUCCCCCUGGUUAAUUACGCUUUUAUCAGCCCUGGCCGGUCCAUUAAUAAUCCUCAUAUUAUUGCUAACUGUAGGACCCUGUUUGCUCAACCGUGUAGUUUCCUUUCUCCAAGCUCAAAUUGAACAAGUUAAACUUAUGGUAAUCAGACAACAAUAUACCCCACUAGCAGACAUAGAAUGUGACACCCCCCAAUGAUCACUUUUAUGAUUAAAAGUAGCCAGAAGAAGAAGUGGGGAAUGAAAGGUUAAUAAAAUAGGUACUUGUCACUCUGUUUUUCUGUAUGCUUAACAAAACACUGUUGAAAUCUUGAGAACUUUUUGCUAAUCUUGUUCCCAGAAUGUGCUGUCCCCAACUGCCAAACUGCAGAAUGUACUCCCUCACUCAGUUGCAGGCAAACCGCCCACUCACCCUGACCCAUCAAUGAACUUCCCUCCCUGCCCUCUCCAAGGAAAGUAUAUAAGCUCUGCUUAAGCUGUUCUCAGGGCUCUUUGCUCUAUUCAAGUGAGCUCUGAGCCCCAGCAUGCUGGACCCCCAAUAAACCCUUUGCUGUUGCAUGAGACAGUCUCUUGGUGGUCUCUUCCUCCGACGCUCACCCGACCUUUACACUUCUAUUGUAAAUUAUUUAUGUAUCAUCACACACAUA